GGCCCGGUAGUUCAGCGGAUAGAACAAGGGACUACUAAUCCCUCUGUCGGGAGUUCGAGCCUCCCCCGGGUCGCCA
RNAcentral lists this transfer RNA (76 nucleotides) under Alphaproteobacteria bacterium. RNAcentral's name for it is "tRNA-Ser". It matches the Rfam family "tRNA". Rfam says of the family: Transfer RNA (tRNA) molecules are approximately 80 nucleotides in length. Their secondary structure includes four short double-helical elements and three loops (D, anti-codon, and T loops). Further hydrogen bonds mediate the characteristic L-shaped molecular structure. tRNAs have two regions of fundamental functional importance: the anti-codon, which is responsible for specific mRNA codon recognition, and the 3' end, to which the tRNAs corresponding amino acid is attached (by aminoacyl-tRNA synthetases). tRNAs cope with the degeneracy of the genetic code in two manners: having more than one tRNA (with a specific anti-codon) for a particular amino acid; and 'wobble' base-pairing, i.e. permitting non-standard base-pairing at the 3rd anti-codon position. The record is from RNAcentral. Lineage: Bacteria; Pseudomonadati; Pseudomonadota; Alphaproteobacteria.